UACGGAGGGAGCUAGCGUUGUUCGGAAUUACUGGGCGCAAAGCGCACGUAGGCGGCUUUGUAAGUUAGAGGUGAUAGCCUGGAGCUCAACUCCAGAAUUGCCUUUAAGACUGCAUCGCUUGAAUCCAGGAGAGGUGAGUGGAAUUCCGAGUGUAGAGGUGAAAUUCGUAGAUAUUCGGAAGAACACCAGUGGCGAAGGCGUCAUACACUGGACUGUAUUGACGCUGAGGUGCGAAAGC
RNAcentral lists this ribosomal RNA (238 nucleotides) under uncultured Sphingomonadales bacterium. RNAcentral describes it as "partial 16S ribosomal RNA". It matches the Rfam family "Bacterial small subunit ribosomal RNA", at positions 524 to 760 of the family's 1533-position model. Lineage: Bacteria; Pseudomonadati; Pseudomonadota; Alphaproteobacteria; Sphingomonadales. The record is from RNAcentral.